AUUGAACGCUGGCGGAAUGCCUUACACAAUGCAAGUCGAACGGCAGCACGGGGAGCAAUCCUGGUGGCGAGUGGCGAACGGGUGAGUAAUACAUCGGAACGUGCCCAAUCGUGGGGGAUAACGUAGCGAAAGCUACGCUAAUACCGCAUACGAUCUACGGAUGAAAGCAGGGGAUCGCAAGACCUUGCGCGAAUGGAGCGGCCGAUGGCAGAUUAGGAGUUGGUGAGGUAAAGGCUCACCAAGCCUUCGAUCUGUAGCUGGUCUGAGAGGACGACCAGCCACACUGGGACUGAGACACGGGCCCAGACUCCUACGGGAGGCAGCAGUGGGGAAUUUUUGGACAAUGGGCGCAAGCCUGAUCCAGCCAUUCCGCGUGCA
This 378-nucleotide ribosomal RNA is filed under the name uncultured bacterium. Its description in RNAcentral is "bacterial SSU rRNA". It matches the Rfam family "Bacterial small subunit ribosomal RNA", at positions 30 to 405 of the family's 1533-position model. The record is from RNAcentral.